CACUUUGUCUUUAUGGCAAAUGUGAGAUGCAGUGUAUGGAAUGUCAAAUUUCUAGUAUGAGAAAUUAACGAUUUAAGUCCUUCUUAAAUGAGGCCAUUUACCCAUAGAGGGUGCCAGGCCCGUAUAACGUUAAUGAUUACUAGAUGACAUUUCCAAAGAGUCGUGUUGCUUGAUAGUGCAGCACUAAGUGGGUGGUAAACUCCAUCUAAAACUAAAUAUAACCAUGAGACCGAUAGUAAACAAGUACCGUGAGGGAAAGUUGAAAAGAACUCUGAAUAGAGAGUUAAAUAGUACGUGAAACUGCUUAGAGGUUAAGCCCGAUGAACCUGAAUAUCCAUUAUAGAAAAUUCAUCAUUAUGAUUUUAAUAUUUAUAUAAAUAUUAUAAUAAUAGUGUGCAUUUUUUCUAUAUAGGACAUUGUAAUCUAUUAACAUAUAAAUUAAAUUUAUCAUAAGAUCUAAUUGCACAAGUUUAUUCAAAUUAUUUUGCUUGCAAUUAUAACAUAGAAUAAAUGCAUUAGAUUUGAUAAAGUGUUGAUAGAUUUAUAAUAUAUAGUGCUUGAAUAUUUUUAAUAUUCUAUAAUAUCAUAUUAAUUAUUAAUUUUUAUGUUCAUUGUAUGCACUUAUAUGAUUAACAAUGCGAAAGAUUCAGGAUACCUUCGGGACCCGUCUUGAAACACGGACCAAGGAGUCUAACAUAUUUGCAAGUUAUUGGGAAUAAAAAAACCUAAUAGCAAAAUUAACAUAACUUUUUAAUUGGGAUUAGUUUUUAGCCUAUUCUUAUAGUCUAUUAAUUCAAUCCCGGGGCGUUCUAUAUAGUUAUGUAUAAUAAUAUUUAUAUUAUUUAUACCUCUAACUAGAACGUACCUUGAGCAUAUAUGCUAUGACCCGAAAGAUGGUGAACUAUACUUGAUCAGGUUGAAGUCAGGGGAAACCCUGAUGGAAGACCGAAACAGUUCUGACGUGCAAAUCGAUUGUCAGAAUUGCAGUAUAGG
Molecule: ribosomal RNA, 993 nt
Filed under: Eucelatoria armigera
Lineage: Eukaryota; Metazoa; Arthropoda; Insecta; Diptera; Tachinidae
Description: eukaryotic LSU rRNA
Rfam family: Eukaryotic large subunit ribosomal RNA
Source: RNAcentral